UACGUAGGGGGCAAGCGUUGUCCGGAAUCAUUGGGCGUAAAGAGCGUGUAGGCGGCCCGGUAAGUCCGCUGUGAAAGUCCAGGGCUCAACCCUGGGAUGCCGGUGGAUACUGUCGGGCUCGAGUCCGGAAGAGGAGUGUGGAAUUCCUGGUGUAGCGGUGAAAUGCGUAGAUAUCUGGAGGAACACCGGUGGCGAAGGCGGCAUCCUGGACCAACACUGACGCUGAUGAGCGAAAGCCAGGGGAGCAAACGGG
This 253-nucleotide ribosomal RNA is filed under the name uncultured bacterium. RNAcentral's name for it is "partial 16S ribosomal RNA". It matches the Rfam family "Bacterial small subunit ribosomal RNA", at positions 524 to 776 of the family's 1533-position model. The record is from RNAcentral.